RNAcentral lists this ribosomal RNA (200 nucleotides) under uncultured bacterium. RNAcentral describes it as "partial 16S ribosomal RNA". It matches the Rfam family "Bacterial small subunit ribosomal RNA", at positions 524 to 723 of the family's 1533-position model. The record is from RNAcentral.
UACGGAGGGUGCAAGCGUUAAUCGGAAUUACUGGGCGUAAAGCGUACGUAGGUGGAUUUGUAAGUUGGAUGUGAAAGCCCUGGGCUUAACCUGGGAACUGCAUUCAAAACUGCAAGUCUAGAGUACAGGAGAGGGAAGUGGAAUUUCCGGUGUAGCGGUGAAAUGCGUAGAUAUCGGAAGGAACACCAGUGGCGAAGGCG